AUUGAACGCUGGCGGCAUGCCUUACACAUGCAAGUCGAACGGCAGCACGGGAGCAAUCCUGGUGGCGAGCGGCGAACGGGGGCGUAACGUAUCGGAACGUGCCCAGUCGUGGGGGAUAACGUAGCGAAAGUUACGCUAAUACCGCAUACGAUCUAUGGAUGAAAGCGGGGGAUCGCAAGACCCCGCGCGAUUGGAGCGGCCGAUAUCAGAUUAGGUAGUUGGUGGGGUAACGGCGCACCAAGCCGACGAUCUGUAGCUGGUCGGAGAGGACGACCAGCCACACUGGGACUGAGACACGGCCCAGACUCCUACGGGAGGCAGCAGUGGGGAAUUUUGGACCAUGGGCGAAAGCCUGAUCCAGCCAUGCCGGGUGCAGGAUGAAGGCCUUCGGGUUGUAAACUGCUUUUGUACGGAACGAAAAGGUUUGGCCUAAUAAGCUGAGCUCAUGACGGUACCGUAAGAAUAAGCACCGGCUAACUACGUGCCAUCCGCCGCCGUAA
RNAcentral lists this ribosomal RNA (500 nucleotides) under uncultured bacterium. Its description in RNAcentral is "partial 16S ribosomal RNA". It matches the Rfam family "Bacterial small subunit ribosomal RNA", at positions 29 to 523 of the family's 1533-position model. The record is from RNAcentral.